AGAAGAGAUGGAGCUGAUUUCAGCUUCUGCUGUGAUGAAGAUUGUCAUGUUGCCUCUGUGUCAAGGAAGAGACUAACAAUGGACCCACUCGAGAUGACGUCAGUGUCUUCCCUGGCCUCCCGCCCGCUGUUCGCCUCUGUAUGUCAGGAGCAUGCACCCCAUUGAAGGACACAUUUGGGCUGAUCGCAGCAUCUUCCAUGGUCAUAGCCCUGUGGUUGCAUCGCUGUGUGAGGAGCAUGGAGAGUCACGUGAGUAAUGGUCAGUGUUCUUGGAUUGGAUUGGUUGUUUUAAAAAAAUUAUUUUUUUAUUAUU
Myotis davidii is the source of this 312-nucleotide long non-coding RNA. RefSeq lists it as uncharacterized. The transcript has 3 exons. NCBI's taxonomy places the organism in Eukaryota, Metazoa, Chordata, Mammalia, Chiroptera, Vespertilionidae. The record is from RefSeq and is a predicted model, not a curated record.